This 750-nucleotide ribosomal RNA is filed under the name Bacillota bacterium. Its description in RNAcentral is "bacterial SSU rRNA". It matches the Rfam family "Bacterial small subunit ribosomal RNA", at positions 60 to 790 of the family's 1533-position model. The record is from RNAcentral. Lineage: Bacteria; Bacillati; Bacillota.
AGUCGAGCGGAGUUUUGAAAGCUUGCUUUUCAAAACUUAGCGGCGGACGGGUGAGUAACACGUGGGCAACCUGCCCUUGAGACGGGGAUAACUCCGGGAAACCGGAGCUAAUACCGGAUAACACAUAUCUUCGCAUGAGGAUAUGUUAGAAGGUGGCUUUUAGCUACCACUCAAGGAUGGGCCCGCGGCGCAUUAGCUAGUUGGUGAGGUAACGGCUCACCAAGGCGACGAUGCGUAGCCGACCUGAGAGGGUGAUCGGCCACACUGGGACUGAGACACGGCCCAGACUCCUACGGGAGGCAGCAGUAGGGAAUCUUCCGCAAUGGACGAAAGUCUGACGGAGCAACGCCGCGUGAGUGAUGAAGGUUUUCGGAUCGUAAAGCUCUGUUGUUAGGGAAGAACAAGUAUCUGUUGAAUAAGCAGGUACCUUGACGGUACCUAACCAGAAAGCCACGGCUAACUACGUGCCAGCAGCCGCGGUAAUACGUAGGUGGCAAGCGUUGUCCGGAAUUAUUGGGCGUAAAGCGCGCGCAGGCGGUUCCUUAAGUCUGAUGUGAAAGCCCACGGCUCAACCGUGGAGGGUCAUUGGAAACUGGGGAACUUGAGUGCAGAAGAGGAGAGCGGAAUUCCACGUGUAGCGGUGAAAUGCGUAGAGAUGUGGAGGAACACCAGUGGCGAAGGCGGCUCUCUGGUCUGUAACUGACGCUGAGGCGCGAAAGCGUGGGGAGCGAACAGGAUUAGAUACCCUGG